GAUUACGGCCAUAUCACCCUGACAACGCCCGAUCUUGUCUGAUCUCGGAAGCUAAACAGAGUUGGGCUGGGUCAGUACUUGGAUGGGUGAUCUGCCUGGGAAUACCCGGUGCUGUAAGCA
Molecule: ribosomal RNA, 120 nt
Filed under: Cottoperca gobio
Lineage: Eukaryota; Metazoa; Chordata; Actinopteri; Perciformes; Bovichtidae
Source: RNAcentral